This 180-nucleotide small nuclear RNA is filed under the name Cervus hanglu yarkandensis (Yarkand deer). RNAcentral describes it as "U4 spliceosomal RNA (ENSCHYG00000000602.1)". The stretch from base 1 to 74 matches the Rfam family "U4 spliceosomal RNA". The record is from RNAcentral. Lineage: Eukaryota; Metazoa; Chordata; Mammalia; Artiodactyla; Cervidae.
AGCUUUGCACAGUGGCAGUAUCGUAGCCAAUGAGGUUUAUUCGAGGCACGAUUAUUGCUAAUAGAAAAAAAUAAGGGGAUUUUGUGUGUUGGUGGGGGUGGAGAGGAUGGGCAAACAGUAGGGGUGGUGGAGAGACUGUUAUUUUCUCCAGGGCAGUUGGUGAAGGCCUUUAUGGAAAGG